Molecule: ribosomal RNA, 1860 nt
Filed under: Triticum aestivum (bread wheat)
Lineage: Eukaryota; Viridiplantae; Streptophyta; Magnoliopsida; Poales; Poaceae
Description: partial small subunit ribosomal RNA
Source: RNAcentral
AGUUGUAACCAAGUGGCAGCAGUAGAUAGAGCCAUCUAUCUAUCUCUCUCUACAGAUCGCGGCUAGGAGAUCAGCGAGCGCGCCCAGAUUUCUCCCUUUCCGGAUCAGUCUCAUCCGAGAAGAUAAUAAGCCGAGCGGGAGGGGGAGAGGCCAUGAUGCUGGAGGGCAAAUCCUGCCUCGUCUCGCGCUCCCUGCCCAGCUACUGCGACCCGGACUCCGACUGGGCGUUCCUCCUCAGCGGCAGCAAGCGCCCCGCGCCGGAAGACUUCGGCGCGGAAGACAUGGAGGAGGUAGACGCCGGCGGCGGCAGCGGGAAGCGCAGCAAGUCGCCUUCCCCGCAGCCGCACACGCCGGACAUCACCGAGAGCCACGGCUCCAGCCGCCAUGCCUCCUCAGGCAGCAGCGGCGGUGGGGAGCAGCAAGGCUCUGGGGCCAAUCUCAUUGGCGAGAUUGGCCGCGACCUCUCCAUCAACUGCCUCCUCCGGCUCUCCAGGUCGGACUAUGGCUCCGUCGCCUCCCUCAACAGGGACUUCAACUCCCUGGUGCGCAACGGGGAGAUCUACCGCCUGCGGCGGCAGAAUGGUAUCGCCGAGCAUUGGGUCUACUUCUCCUGCAAUGUCCUGGAGUGGGAUGCCUAUGACCCCUACAGGGAGCGCUGGAUCCAGGUGCCCAAGAUGCCACCGGAUGAAUGCUUCAUGUGCUCUGACAAGGAGUCCCUGGCUGUGGGCACCGAGCUGCUUGUGUUUGGGAUGGCACACAUUGUGUUCAGAUAUAGCAUCCUGACCAAUUCAUGGACAAGGGCUGAUCCCAUGAACUCUCCCCGGUGCUUGUUUGGAUCAACAAGCGUCGGUGAAAAGGCGUAUGUCGCUGGAGGCACCGAUGCUUCUGGAAAGAUACUGAGCUCUGCAGAGAUGUAUGACUCUGUGACACACACUUGGACACCCCUUCCCAGCAUGAAUAGGGCUAGGAAGAUGUGUUCUGGUGUGUUCUUGGAUGGCAAGUUCUAUGUGAUCGGUGGUGUUACCAACAACAACCAGGUACUGACAUGUGGUGAGGAAUAUGACUUGAAUCGGGGUUCGUGGAGGGUCAUUGAGAACAUGUCUGAGGGCCUCAAUGGAGUGACGGGUGCUCCUCCACUCAUUGCAGUUGUCAACAAUCAGCUCUAUGCAGCUGAUUACAGUGAGAAGGAUGUGAAGAAGUAUGACAAGCUGAAUAAUAAGUGGAUCGCUCUUGGGAAAUUGCCUGAACGGUCUGUGUCCAUGAAUGGAUGGGGCCUUGCUUUCCGAGCCUGUGGUGACCGGCUGAUUGUCAUUGGAGGCCCAAGGACUUCUAUUGGUGGCAUCAUUGAGCUUAAUUCAUGGGUUCCCGAUGAGCAACCGCCUGUGUGGAAUUUGGUUGCCACACGGCAAUCCGGGAACUUCGUGUAUAACUGCGCCGUGAUGGGUUGCUGAGUCCACUGAAUAAAAGAUUGGAUGCAGUGGAUAUUUAUGAAGGAUGAUAGUAUGCACAAAGGCAGCCUGUUCAAUUGCUCCAGCCCUGAUUCUUCGUAGGGAUUUAUGCCUUCUGCCCAGUUAACUGGACAUCUGCUGAGCGGCAGCACUCAUGGCAUCCACAUUCUUCUGUUUUGGGCACUUAGAUUUGCAUACAUGCUUCUUACUGUGUGGUAGCAUCCAUCCUACAUUGCCCCUGGAUUUCUGGAAUGAGAGCCGAAUUGGUGGCGCGCUGAGUGCAGAUGGCGGAGCUUGCUAUAUGAAAGGAGCAUGUGUAAUCUGUCGAUGUCGACCCUUGCAGACAUAUAUAUGUGGUAAAAAGAAACCUUGUAGUUCCUGCCAUUUGGAGCAAGAAGCGGGUUGUGAGCCG